AAACUCACCUGAAAGGAGUCAAUAGGUGAUCAAGAAGGCUCACGACCAAAGCAUGUGACCUCUAUUGCAUUUUGGAGGGGUGCUCGCCUAAGGUUGACUCAAGUGAUUGAGCCUAUGUCAUAAUCUGUGACAGUGGAGGUUUGCGUUCGUGCGGCCCCUG
RNAcentral lists this small nuclear RNA (160 nucleotides) under Nicotiana sylvestris (wood tobacco). RNAcentral describes it as "U1 spliceosomal RNA". It matches the Rfam family "U1 spliceosomal RNA". Rfam says of the family: U1 is a small nuclear RNA (snRNA) component of the spliceosome (involved in pre-mRNA splicing). Its 5' end forms complementary base pairs with the 5' splice junction, thus defining the 5' donor site of an intron. Lineage: Eukaryota; Viridiplantae; Streptophyta; Magnoliopsida; Solanales; Solanaceae. The record is from Rfam by way of RNAcentral. RNAcentral also lists the same sequence under 1 other name.